AACUACGCGAAAGCGUGGCUAAUACCGCAUACGCCCUGAGGGGAAAGCGGGGGAUUCUUCGGAACCUCGCGCAAUUGGAGCGGCCGAUGUCAGAUUAGCUUGUUGGUGAGGUAAAGGCUCACCAAGGCGACGAUCUGUAGCGGGUCUGAGAGGAUGAUCCGCCACACUGGGACUGAGACACGGCCCAGACUCCUACGGGGAGGCAGCAGGUGGGGUAAUUUUGGACAAUGGGGGCAACCCUGAUCCAGCCAUGCCGCGUGAGUGAAGAAGGCCUUCGGGUUGUAAAGCUCUUUCAGCCGGGAAGAAAACGCACUCUCUAACAUAGGGUGUGGAUGACGGUACCGGACCAAGAAGCACCGGCUAACUACGUG
RNAcentral lists this ribosomal RNA (371 nucleotides) under uncultured bacterium. RNAcentral describes it as "bacterial SSU rRNA". It matches the Rfam family "Bacterial small subunit ribosomal RNA", at positions 145 to 507 of the family's 1533-position model. The record is from RNAcentral.